CAGCCGCCGCGGUAAUACCGGCGGCCCGAGUGGCGGUCACUAUUAUUGGGCUUAAAGCGUCCGUAGCCGGGUUGGGAAGUCCUCCGGGAAAUCUGGCCGCUUAAAGGUCAGAAUGCCGGAGGAUACUCCCAGCCUAGGGAGCGGGAGAGGCCGAGGGUAUUCCCGGAGUAGGGGGGAAAUCCUAUAAUUCCGGGAGGACCACCUGUGGCGAAGGCGCUCGGCUGGAACGCGUCCGACGGUGAGGGACGAAGGCCAGGGGAGCAAACCGGAUUAGAUACCCGGGUAGUCCUGGCUGUAAACGAUGCGGACUUUGUGUCGGACAAGCUAUGAGCUUGUCCGGUGCCGGAGGGAAACCGUUAAGUCCGCCGCCUGGGGAGUACGGCCGCAAGGCUGAAACUUAAAGGAAUUGGCGGG
RNAcentral lists this ribosomal RNA (414 nucleotides) under uncultured microorganism. Its description in RNAcentral is "bacterial SSU rRNA". It matches the Rfam family "Archaeal small subunit ribosomal RNA", at positions 459 to 872 of the family's 1478-position model. The record is from RNAcentral.